This 214-nucleotide unclassified non-coding RNA is filed under the name Hevea brasiliensis (rubber tree). The record is from RNAcentral. Lineage: Eukaryota; Viridiplantae; Streptophyta; Magnoliopsida; Malpighiales; Euphorbiaceae.
AUAACGUGAACGAUUGUUGUUGUUUUGUUAAGGCAAAGUCUCUCUAAUAAGCUGUUAUACAUCAAAUGCUUUAUUAUUUCAUACGGCUAAAAUUUUUUUUUUGUCAAUAUGGUUUUAUCACUAUCACAUAAAGGAGAAAGAAUUAUUCAUGUUAUUAUUAUUCUGGAUUGCAUAAACUGACUAUUGAGAAUUAGAAGGAUUUUACUGUGCAAAA